UGAGUGGUGAUCGGAUAGCUA
This 21-nucleotide non-coding RNA is filed under the name Arabidopsis thaliana (thale cress). The record is from RNAcentral. Lineage: Eukaryota; Viridiplantae; Streptophyta; Magnoliopsida; Brassicales; Brassicaceae.